RNAcentral lists this unclassified non-coding RNA (564 nucleotides) under Notoacmea elongata. Its description in RNAcentral is "partial miscellaneous RNA". Lineage: Eukaryota; Metazoa; Mollusca; Gastropoda; Acmaeidae. The record is from RNAcentral.
UACCGUAUUCUGCUCACGAACGAUUGUGUCUUGAGAAAGACUCAAAACUUUGUGUAGCUUAACGAAACUUUUGCCUUACCUGGUCGUUAUGGUUUCGAGUGCGCGUAGCAGAUGCUAGGAGACCCCGUCCAGGGGUCCUUCGCUCUUGUUAAUUCUCCCUCGAUCGUCCGGUCCACGGGUGAUGAAGCUCUCUGAGAGGGGUUGAGCGAGGUUUGACCAGUCUGUGGCGAGGUUAUCGAGGAAAGCUUUCUUCAUGGACCUCGGUAUGUCCGUUACUUUUUUUUUGUUGUGGUGUCGGUACGUACGACCCUUUCGGUUGCUCGCUCGAUUAAAGGACGAUUUCGAUCGACCUUUAGAGGGACUCGAAAGGGUACGUUCAAAGAGUUCUUGAUGGAGACGUCAAGCCGCCGAACAACUACAAUUUCCCCGGUCGUCUAACAAUAUUUUUUUUCCACACGAUCAAGGACACAUUUAGUUUGUUGCGAGCCGUCGUCUUUUCGACGGCCGUCUCACUUAAUUUGAAACGUUAACGUACGACCGUAGGCGUUGGAUCACUCGGCUCGU